Molecule: ribosomal RNA, 253 nt
Filed under: uncultured bacterium
Lineage: Bacteria
Description: partial 16S ribosomal RNA
Rfam family: Bacterial small subunit ribosomal RNA
Source: RNAcentral
UACGUAGGGCGCGAGCGUUGUCCGGAAUUAUUGGGCGUAAAGAGCUCGUAGGCGGCCUGUCGCGUCCGCUGUGAAAACCCGGGGCUCAACCCCGGGCCUGCAGUCGAUACGGGCAGACUAGAGUGCGGUAGGGGAGACUGGAAUUCCUGGUGUAGCGGUGGAAUGCGCAGAUAUCAGGAGGAACACCGGUGGCGAAGGCGGGUCUCUGGGCAGUAACUGACGCUGAGGAGCGAAAGCGUGGGGAGCGAACAGG